RNAcentral lists this ribosomal RNA (490 nucleotides) under uncultured bacterium. Its description in RNAcentral is "partial 16S ribosomal RNA". It matches the Rfam family "Bacterial small subunit ribosomal RNA", at positions 29 to 507 of the family's 1533-position model. The record is from RNAcentral.
AGUGAACGCUGGCGGUAGGCCUAACACAUGCAAGUCGAACGGCAGCACAGGAGAGCUUGCUCUCUGGGUGGCGAGUGGCGGACGGGUGAGGAAUACAUAGGAAUCUGUCCAGUCGUGGGGGAUAACGCAGGGAAACUUACGCUAAUAUCGCAUACGCGCUUUGGGUGAGAGAGGGGGAUCGCAUGACCCCUUGCGAGUGGGAGAGCGGAUGUCGGAUUAGCUAGUUGGCGGGGUAAUGGCCCACCAAGGCGACGAUCCGUAGCUGGUCUGAGAGGAUGAUCAGCCACACUGGAACUGAGACACGGUCCAGACUCCUACGGGAGGCAGCAGUGGGGAAUAUUGGACAAUGGGCGCAAGCCUGAUCCAGCCAUACCGCGUGGGUGAAGAAGGCCUUCGGGUUGUAAAGCCCUUUUGUUGGGAAAGAAAUCUUGCAGGCUAAUACCCUGGGAGGAUGACGGUACCCAAAGAAUAAGCACCGGCUAACUUCGUG